GACCAGACUCCUACGGGAGGCAGCAAUGAGGAAUAUUGGUCAAUGGCCGCAGGGCUGAACCAGCCAAGUCGCGUGAGGGAGGACGGCCCUACGGGUUGUAAACCUCUUUUGCCGGGGAGCAACGGGCGUCACGUGUGGCGCCACUGAGAGUACCCGGAGAAAAAGCAUCGGCUAACUCCGUGCCAGCAGCCGCGGUAAUACGGAGGAUGCGAGCGUUAUCCGGAUUUAUUGGGUUUAAAGGGUGCGCAGGCGGAAUGUCAAGUCAGCGGUAAAAUUUCGGGGCUCAACCCCGUCGUGCCGUUGAAACUGGCGUUCUUGAGUGAGCGAGAAGUAUGCGGAAUGCGUGGUGUAGCGGUGAAAUGCAUAGAUAUCACGCAGAACUCCGAUUGCGAAGGCAGCAUACCGGCGCUCAACUGACGCUCAUGCACGAAAGCGUGGGUAUCGAACAGGAUUAGAUACCCUAGUA
RNAcentral lists this ribosomal RNA (466 nucleotides) under uncultured bacterium. RNAcentral describes it as "bacterial SSU rRNA". It matches the Rfam family "Bacterial small subunit ribosomal RNA", at positions 329 to 792 of the family's 1533-position model. The record is from RNAcentral.